CCUACGGGUGGCAGCAGUGAGGAAUAUUGGUCAAUGGACGCAAGUCUGAACCAGCCAUGCAGCGUGCAGGAUGACUGCUCUAUGAGUUGUAAACUGCUUUUGUACGGGGAUAAACGCAGAUACGCGUAUCUUUCUGAAUGUACCUUAUGAAUAAGGAUCGGCUAACUCCGUGCCAGCAGCCGCGGUAAUACGGAGGAUUCAAGCGUUAUCCGGAUUUAUUGGGUUUAACGGGUGGGUAGGCGGGAGGAUAAGUUCCAGGUGAAAUUCCGCGGCUCAACGGCGGAAUUGCCUGUGAUACUGUUUGGCUGGAGUGUAGAUGCGGUAGGCGGAAUGUGUGGUGUAGCGGUGAAAUGCUUAGAGAUCACACAGAACACCGAUUGCGAAGGCAGCUUACGAAUCUACGGCUGACGUUGAGGCACGAAAGCGUGGGGAGCAAACAGGAUUAGAUACCCGUGUAGUC
Molecule: ribosomal RNA, 460 nt
Filed under: uncultured bacterium
Lineage: Bacteria
Description: partial 16S ribosomal RNA
Rfam family: Bacterial small subunit ribosomal RNA
Source: RNAcentral